UACAGAGACCUCAAGCGUUAUCCGGAAUCAUUGGGCGUAAAGCGUACCGAUAGGUGGUUUUACAAGUCAGAAGUGAAAUCUCAAGGCUCAACUUUGAGACUGUCUUUUGAAACUGUAAAACUAGAGGAGCAAAGAGGAAGCUGGAACGAACGGUGUAGUAGUGAAAUGCGUUGAUAUCGUUCGGAACACCAAUAGCGUAGGCAGGCUUCUGGGUGCUACCUGACACUGCUAGGACGAAAGCGUGGGGAGCGAAUGGG
This 257-nucleotide ribosomal RNA is filed under the name uncultured bacterium. RNAcentral's name for it is "partial 16S ribosomal RNA". It matches the Rfam family "Bacterial small subunit ribosomal RNA", at positions 524 to 776 of the family's 1533-position model. The record is from RNAcentral.